Odocoileus virginianus texanus is the source of this 490-nucleotide long non-coding RNA. RefSeq lists it as uncharacterized. The record is from RefSeq and is a predicted model, not a curated record. Lineage: Eukaryota; Metazoa; Chordata; Mammalia; Artiodactyla; Cervidae.
GCCGUGCGGGCGCACAGAGAGGCCGAGCGCGCUGUCCCGCCAAGCGCCUCUGGCUUCUCAGACUCCGUGUGCUCAUCAGCAAAUUGGUCGAGGAGAGUGUCUCUGACCUGCUGCUCCAGCCACCCUGCUGUUCCAGAAUGGCCUGCCUUGGAGAAUCCUGCCCCUCUCCCUGUUAAAAGGUGCCUUGGUUCAGAACCCUGUCCACCUUCCUCCAGAUGGCGGGGAGGAAGAAAUCAACACAUCACCCUGCCUAAGGCUUGCUGUUCUGGGAGGUAUUUGCCAUGUUCAUGGACUUUUUCCUUUGUUGCCUCACCUCCCCUCAUCCCUGAUCUGUAAAAGAAGCUGGCAUCCAGACCCCAAUAAGGUAGUUAUUGUGAGACAUUAGUCUGUCGCCUUCUCAGUCAUCUGGCUCUCAACCCCUUGUCUCUGGUUCACUGGCCUGCCGCGCGGCGAGCAGCGUGAGCUUGAACUUGCUGACAAAAGGGCCCAC